Molecule: ribosomal RNA, 430 nt
Filed under: uncultured Alphaproteobacteria bacterium
Lineage: Bacteria; Pseudomonadati; Pseudomonadota; Alphaproteobacteria
Description: bacterial SSU rRNA
Rfam family: Bacterial small subunit ribosomal RNA
Source: RNAcentral
AACGCGAAGAACCUUACCAGCCCUUGACAUCCCGGUCGCGGGAACGAGAGAUCGAUCCCUUCAGUUCGGCUGGACCGGAGACAGGUGCUGCAUGGCUGUCGUCAGCUCGUGUCGUGAGAUGUUGGGUUAAGUCCCGCAACGAGCGCAACCCUCGCCCUUAGUUGCCAUCAUUCAGUUGGGCUCUCUAAGGGGACUGCCGGUGAUAAGCCGCGAGGAAGGUGGGGAUGACGUCAAGUCCUCAUGGCCCUUACGGGCUGGGCUACACACGUGCUACAAUGGCGGUGACAGUGGGAUGCAAUGGGGUAACCCUGCGCAAAUCUCAAAAAGCCGUCUCAGUUCGGAUUGUGCUCUGCAACUCGAGCACAUGAAGUUGGAAUCGCUAGUAAUCGCAGAUCAGCACGCUGCGGUGAAUACGUUCCCGGGCCUUGUA